RNAcentral lists this long non-coding RNA (1369 nucleotides) under Zea mays. RNAcentral's name for it is "drought-responsive long non-coding RNA". The record is from RNAcentral. Lineage: Eukaryota; Viridiplantae; Streptophyta; Magnoliopsida; Poales; Poaceae.
GAUGAAUCUACUCCCAUUUCUCUGCACGCAGCUCAGUCUCGUCCAUCCAGUGCUGUAGAAUUUUCUUUGGUCUGUUGGCAAGGCAGCCAUGAAACCCCCUCAGCUGCCGGCAGGGGAGGGGGCCUCCUGGGCUCACGAGGUCAAGCAGGCCCUCCGUGAGAAACUCCGGCGCUCCUACGGCGCCGGAGCUGCCUCCGCCACACCGGAGGCCAGGCCGGCCGGCGAACCAAGCCGUGGCGCUGAGUGCCGCGGCUCGGCGGCCGAGGACCCCAUAAGGAGAGUCAUGUUCUUGGCUCCCUGGGGUCACACAUAAGAACACAAACCGGCCGGCCGAGAUCUGGGCAUGCAAGCUUGCAUGGCCAUGUCUUGGUCAGUCAGAUCUGCAAACAACCAAACUGUAAAAAAGAACUGGAGCCUGUCUUGUAAAUCAUGGAGCUUGCUGCUGCUUGCACCCAUGAAAAACAUGAACGCAUGGAGAGCUGGUUAACUAGCUAGGUAGAUAGAUAUAUCAUAUAUGGGUAUGAUGGUGUGGAUGAGAAUAAAAAACAAGGUACGUAGUCCAUGUCUCUGGUCUUGGGGAGUGGCUGUGAGCCUGUGAGAUCCUGGGAAGUUCAUGCAUGGCAUGAGUCAUGGGUGUGGUGGGCUCAAGAGGGAGAUCUGAAACUUGUGUAGCCACUACGAACUUGUUUUCCAGAAAUCUUGUAAGUAGGGGAGCCUGUGAAUAAUCUAGAAAACAAAUCUUCCUGCUCUGCGUGUCCACCUUUGCUUCCAGGUUCAGAAGAUUCUUCUUCUAGUGGUGAUGCUUUAUCUCUAUGCUCUGUCCAAAACUUCUUUACUGCCUUCUUGAUCUUUUCAGCUGUUGGGUGGUUUAAUCCUACAGCCAUGAGAGGCAAACAUGCUCAUGAACUGAAUUCGUGUUUUCUUCUUGCAAAGAAACGUCUAGAAACUGACAUGGCUGGCAAAAUAAUGCAACGGCUUUGCAUGUCAAGGUGAUUUGAUUCAGUUGGUUGUGAAGAAAGGCCAUUUUCAUUUCCUUAUGAUCUGCUGGGAUUUUAGGAACCAUGAAUCCAGCCAGCUACGUGCCCACGGAAGAUUAAUGAUCUCAACACUUGCAAAUUUGAAGCAACAAACCUCAAAAGAUCUCGGGAGUUCAGUGAAGAUCAAAGACAAAACCUAUUAAAAGCUGCACCCUGCGAUAAAGCUGAGAGCUUCUUUUCCAAAUAUAUCUUUGCACUAUCAUAUGGUUUGCUAUAUGUGCAGUAUCAUUUCGUUGCUAUAAUUUGGACAGAACACAGAAGUCACCCAGGAAAAAAGAAGAAUAAAAGGAGACCCUUUAUAAAACUGGACUCCUCUUUUCCUAUGGAUUAAU